UGGCGACCGGCGCACGGGUGCGUAACGCGUAUGCAACCUACCUGUAACAGGGGGAUAACACUGAGAAAUCGGUACCAAUACCGCAUAACACUAUGAGAGGCAUCUCUUGUGGUUGAAAGUUUCGGCGGUUACAGAUGGGCAUGCGUUGUAUUAGCUGGUUGGUAAGGUAACGGCUUACCAAGGCGACGAUACAUAGGGGGACUGAGAGGUUAACCCCCCACAUUGGUACUGAGACACGGACCAAACUCCUACGGAAGGCAGCAG
RNAcentral lists this ribosomal RNA (264 nucleotides) under uncultured bacterium. RNAcentral's name for it is "partial 16S ribosomal RNA". It matches the Rfam family "Bacterial small subunit ribosomal RNA", at positions 89 to 354 of the family's 1533-position model. The record is from RNAcentral.